Molecule: ribosomal RNA, 501 nt
Filed under: uncultured soil bacterium
Lineage: Bacteria
Description: bacterial SSU rRNA
Rfam family: Bacterial small subunit ribosomal RNA
Source: RNAcentral
AGAUUGAACGCUGGCGGCAUGCUUUACACAUGCAAGUCGAACGGUAACAGGCCGCAAGGCGCUGACGAGUGGCGAACGGGUGAGUAAUGCAUCGGAACGUGCCCAGUCGUGGGGGAUAACGCAGCGAAAGCUGUGCUAAUACCGCAUACGAUCUAUGGAUGAAAGCGGGGGACCGAAAGGCCUCGCGCGAUUGGAGCGGCCGAUGUCAGAUUAGCUAGUUGGUGGGGUAAAGGCCCACCAAGGCGACGAUCUGUAGCUGGUCUGAGAGGACGACCAGCCACACUGGAACUGAGACACGGUCCAGACUCCUACGGGAGGCAGCAGUGGGGAAUUUUGGACAAUGGGCGCAAGCCUGAUCCAGCAAUGCCGCGUGCAGGAAGAAGGCCUUCGGUUGUAAACUGCUUUUGUACGGAACGAAACGGUCGUGGGUUAAUACCUCGGCUAAUGACGGUAACCGUAAGAAAUAAGACACCGGACUAACUACGUGUCCAGCAAGCCGUA